CCCAGGUUUAAAACACAUUCUGCUGGGGCAGAAGGCGUUAACGUGUAUCUAGAUGCAGAAACCUUUUCCCCUUUGAACGCCGAGGCAAAUCCGGGGAUUUUAGGCGCGGAAGGAAACCUCUUUACUCAGCCGCUCUGGGCAGCCUACCGGGCUCCGAAACUCCCGAGGCAAAGCCGGAAGAACCUCUCCUUCCCUCCGUCCCACGGAAGGAGCUCCGACUAGGGGAAAGUCCUGAAGGGAGAAAUCUCCAAGGCAACGAGGAAUUUCAAACGGCCGAGGCUAUCCAGAUCAGCAUCGGCAUCUUUCAGUUGUUCUUGGGGAUCCUGUGGUUCUACCUCUACCUGACCCAGUUUGCAGACUCUUUUCUCACUUACAAGACCUUAAUUUGGAAUGCGAAAUACCCAUUAUUAUCAGCGUUUAUCAACUCUGGAAAGUUACUUUCAAAUUAUUUGUUCAUCUACACUGUCUUGUUCAUCUUGGUCUCCUGGAUGGUCCUCAAGUGGAACCACAAGGCCGUCUAUUACUCCCCCCACUGAAUGUCUCCUUCCUCUCCGGCAACACAGCCCUGCCCUCCCAGACCCAUCUUAAAGAUGUCAAGGUCUGAGCCAAACUCCUUUGCUGCUCAGCUCUGGCUGAAGAAUCUGGGAAGGAGAGGACCUAGGGAUAACAGCAAGGAUUCCACCGAAGACCGUGCUCAGAUCUAAAAUGUUCCUUUUUGCAUGGUUUGGUAGCUUCACUGGUGUCUGUGGCUGGCCCCGACGUGGGGCUGGUAUCUCAUGCUUCCCAUUGUGUGCCCAAAAAGGCUCCCACCCUCUCCUCUCAGAAGGGUUCCUAUGGUGUGGGAAGGGGCCAGGGGAGCUUCAGCUCAGUCUUACUUGGAUGACUUGUUUACCAGAGCUUAGGGCAAUCAGAUGGCAGAGCAUCCAUUGAAAAGCCUAGAAAACCAGUAGGACCCCCAGUAAAGAAAGAAUGGGCAGUUGAGUAUGGAUGGCUAUUUGAAAAUGUCAACAAUGUCUUUUCUAAAUGUUUCUUUUUUCUGUUCAAUAAAAGUGAAAUGAAGAUAGUUUGCUUUUGGUAA
This 1078-nucleotide long non-coding RNA is filed under the name Monodelphis domestica (gray short-tailed opossum). Its description in RNAcentral is "lncRNA (ENSMODG00000044574.1)". The record is from RNAcentral. Lineage: Eukaryota; Metazoa; Chordata; Mammalia; Didelphimorphia; Didelphidae.